Molecule: long non-coding RNA, 314 nt
Filed under: Elaeis guineensis (African oil palm)
Lineage: Eukaryota; Viridiplantae; Streptophyta; Magnoliopsida; Arecales; Arecaceae
Description: long non-coding RNA (EGUI_LNC064160)
Source: RNAcentral
CCCGGGAGUGCUUGCUCGUGAUGACACCAUGCUUUAGCUGAUAUAAGAGGAAUAUAAUAAAGAUGAAGAAUAAGGAGAUCCUCUCCUUUUCUUUCUGGAUCCAUGUAUCAAAUCUCUACAAUAGAGAUCAAGAGAAGAACCCUUUCUUCUUAAUUUUUUCAUACACAAAAGAGAACCUUUCUCUCUUUCUUUCAUGUCUUUAAGAAAAAAAAUUUUCUCUGAUUUUUCAUGACAAAAAUCAGAUCUAAUCUAAUUUUUUAUACUAAAAAUAAUAUGAAUUCUCAUGUUCUAGAAAAAUUUAAAAGAGAGAUCCA